Molecule: long non-coding RNA, 308 nt
Organism: Motacilla alba alba
Lineage: Eukaryota; Metazoa; Chordata; Aves; Passeriformes; Motacillidae
Exons: 3
Source: RefSeq, a predicted model, not a curated record
GCACCAUCCUGCUGCGGUGGGUCAGCGCACCCUGCGCAAUGGCUUUUUUCUUUUCUGAAAUGAAGGGUUUGGAAGCUUAAAGCGGGAGAAGAUCUGCAGGCUGAGCAGGGGAAAUCCAGAAAAAGUCAAGGUGUCUGAGUCCCUCCCUUGGGGCAGGGAGUAGGAAGGAGAGCUAAAGAGCAUGGAAGUGCGGGCACAGUCUCCUACCAGGAGCUGGGAAAGGAAAAAUGAAUUGGUGAGAUUUGGAAUGUCACUUGAGAACUGUGAGGAGUUUCUACGCCAUCGGAGCCAGUAUUAACAGAAAAACA